This 206-nucleotide long non-coding RNA is filed under the name Elaeis guineensis (African oil palm). RNAcentral's name for it is "long non-coding RNA (EGUI_LNC009604)". Lineage: Eukaryota; Viridiplantae; Streptophyta; Magnoliopsida; Arecales; Arecaceae. The record is from RNAcentral.
GGACCAGGCCUAGUCUAAAUUUGGGCCCAUUUGAGCUAAAAUAUUACACCAAUCUAUCAUUGAUGACAUAGAGAGCAACCAAUUAGCAUCCAAGUACCCCUACAUCAGAUCAAACAAAAUAGAGUAGUUUCCAAGUACAAAUGCUAGCCUCACACAAGAAGAGAACAACCAUAAGGAUGGGUAGCAUAGCUAGCAAAGCAAUGGGA